This 1447-nucleotide small RNA is filed under the name Pongo abelii (Sumatran orangutan). Its description in RNAcentral is "retained intron". The record is from RNAcentral. Lineage: Eukaryota; Metazoa; Chordata; Mammalia; Primates; Hominidae.
AAUAGGCACCGCUGCGGGGACUGGAGUCGGCGGAGAAACCGGGGUCCCCAGCGCUGGGGCCCGCGGCGCCAUGGCUCACGUCGGCUCCCGCAAGCGCUCGAGGAGUCGCAGCCGGUCCCGGGGACGGGGGUCGGAAAAGAGAAAGAAGAAGAGCAGGAAGGACGCCUCGAGGAACUGCUCGGCCUCCACAUCCCAAGGUCGCAAGGCCAGCACGGCCCCUGGGGUGGAGGGUGAGGACCACAGGCAUCGGGGAGAGGAGGCGCAGCUACUUCCUGGGGAAGUCGGGGCGAGCAGUGGUCGGGGACGCUCAGUCAUGCCUUUGUGCAGCCGGGCCUGAGGUGUGAGGGCCAGGCGCCGCAGGAGCCGGGAAGGGGCUCCUCUGGGAAGCUCCAUCUCUGUUCUGGAAAGCCCCUUAGAAAGUGCCCACGCUGUAGACUGUCUGUGCCUGCGCUAGGCCAGAGCAGGGGAGGAAGGUUUACCUCUUCUCCUCCUGGCCUUCCAGCCUCACCUUCUCCCUGCAUCACAGAGAGAAGCAAGCAGAAGGCCCGGAGGAGACCACGAUCCAGCUCCUCCUCCUCUUCUUCCAGUUCUUCUAGCUCCUCUUCUUCCUCCUCGUCCUCCUCCUCUUCCUCCAGUGAUGGCCGGAAGAAGCGGGGGAAGUACAAGGACAAGAAGAGGAAGAAGAAGAAGAGAAGGAAGAAGCUGAAGAAGAAGGGCAAGGAGAAGGCGGAAGCACAGCAGGUGGAGGCUCUGCCGGGCCCCUCGCUGGACCAGUGGCACCGAUCAGCUGGGGAGGAAGAGGAUGGCCCAGGUACUGUGCUGCCCAGCACCUGAGAGGGAGAAGGUCCCUUCCCAAGGCCUGGUCACCACCUCCGUCUUCCCUUCCAGUCCUGACGGAUGAGCAGAAGUCCCGAAUCCAGGCCAUGAAGCCCAUGACCAAGGAGGAGUGGGAUGCCCGGCAGAGCAUCAUCCGCAAGGUGGUGGACCCCGAGACGGGGCGCACCAGGCUUAUUAAGGGAGAUGGCGAGGUCCUAGAGGAAAUCGUAACCAAAGAACGACACAGAGAGAUCAACAAGGUGGGUGUGGCCCCUCUGCCUGCCAUCCGCCCCCAGCUCUGUUUGUGAUGUACCCCUCCUCCUGUGUGCUUUCUUCCCCAGCAAGCCACCCGAGGGGACGGCCUGGCCUUCCAGAUGCGAGCUGGGUUGCUUCCCUGAGGGCCCCCGUUGGCCAAGGCCUGUGGACGGUGCUGGCGGCCCAGCCUGGGCAGGUUUCAGGGUGCCAGUGGGAAGCCUGAUGGGUGCUGGUGGCCUUUCCCCCGUGGAUUGGCCUCUGGGCCAGCCCAGCCUCUUCUCAGGGGCAGGGGGUGGAGGUUGAGGUCACCGGCCUGCUUGGCACCCCUAUCUGAAAGAGCAACACUUUUCAGCUAUUAAAGGCCCUCUGGAUAGAC